Molecule: ribosomal RNA, 205 nt
Filed under: Cladosporium halotolerans
Lineage: Eukaryota; Fungi; Ascomycota; Dothideomycetes; Cladosporiales; Cladosporiaceae
Description: partial large subunit ribosomal RNA
Source: RNAcentral
AAGGGAUUGCAACCAGACUUGCUCGCGGUGUUCCGCCGGUCUUCUGACCGGUCUACUCGCCGCGUUGCAGGCCAGCAUCGUCUGGUGCCGCUGGAUAAGACUUGAGGAAUGUAGCUCCCUCGGGAGUGUUAUAGCCUCUUGUGAUGCAGCGAGCGCCGGGCGAGGUCCGCGCUUCGGCUAGGAUGCUGGCGUAAUGGUUGUAAUC